CCGGAGAAUGUUAUCACGGGAGACACACGGCGGGUGCUAACGUCCGUCGUGAAGAGGGAAACAACCCAGACCGCCAGCUAAGGUCCCAAAGUCAUGGUUAAGUGGGAAACGAUGUGGGAAGGCCCAGACAGCCAGGAUGUUGGCUUAGAAGCAGCCAUCAUUUAAAGAAAGCGUAAUAGCUCACUGGUCGAGUCGGCCUGCGCGGAAGAUGUAACGGGGCUAAACCAUGCACCGAAGCUGCGGCAGCGACGCUGAUGCGUUGUUGGGUAGGGGAGCGUUCUGUAAGCCUGCGAAGGUGACCUGUGAGGGUUGCUGGAGGUAUCAGAAGUGCGAAUGCUGACAUAAGUAACGAUAAAGCGGGUGAAAAGCCCGCUCGCCGGAAGACCAAGGGUUCCUGUCCAACGUUAAUCGGGGCAGGGUGAGUCGACCCCUAAGGCGAGGCCGAAAGGCGUAGUCGAUGGGAAACGGGUUAAUAUUCCCGUACUUGGUGUUACUGCGAAGGGGGGACGGAGAAGGCUAUGUUGGCCGGGCGACGGUUGUCCCGGUUUAAGCGUGUAGG
RNAcentral lists this ribosomal RNA (559 nucleotides) under Salmonella enterica subsp. enterica serovar Typhimurium. RNAcentral describes it as "bacterial LSU rRNA". It matches the Rfam family "Bacterial large subunit ribosomal RNA", at positions 962 to 1524 of the family's 2925-position model. The record is from RNAcentral. Lineage: Bacteria; Pseudomonadati; Pseudomonadota; Gammaproteobacteria; Enterobacterales; Enterobacteriaceae. RNAcentral also lists the same sequence under 1 other name.